Molecule: long non-coding RNA, 3434 nt
Organism: Numida meleagris (helmeted guineafowl)
Lineage: Eukaryota; Metazoa; Chordata; Aves; Galliformes; Numididae
Exons: 2
Source: RefSeq, a predicted model, not a curated record
UUGCCAGGCAUUCUUUUUGACUCUUUCUUUUUUUGCUUUAUCCCAGUAUGGGAACUGUUAGGUCACUGCCUGGACCAGUGAUUGAGCACCUGGUGAGGGGUGUAGCCUGCCCUGCGAGCACAGGUGGAAGCAGUUCACCUGUGGGAUUGGAGGGGGUGGAGCCUGGCUGCAUCCCUUCCUGAGCUCAUUUAAGGGCUGGCAGCCAGAGGGGCAGUAUUUCUGACUGGAGGCUGUCUCCUUUGGGCUGGGGGGGGUUGAGUUCUGGUCCUUGGGAAGGUGUGAGCAAUUACUUUUUUGUUUCAGGGCUGUGAUCUCUGUUUUCCUUGUGCAAUCUGAAACUGCUUUAAAGCAGCUGUAUCUGCUGUGCGUGUUCCUACAAUGCCCUUUGGUUCUCUAAAGGAGAUGAAGGGGUUAUCUCCCUUUCUCAGACCUGGUGAUGGAGGGGCUGAUGUACAUUCCUUCCUUUCACUACAGCCUCGUUUCUGGAAUGCUUCAAUUAAUCCCCAGGUAAUGCUGGUCAGCUAACAGAGUCUUGCAGCUCUGGGAAUGCCUGGAGCUGCUGCCCUGUUCCACAAAGGUGUUCUGCAUUCUCAGGAUAAUGUUUGUGCAGCUUUUUAAGCUCAUUACUUUCUGGUUGAUUCUCUGUUUCCUCUUUCAUGAUUCUUACUUUAUUAUAUCCAACCUGGGUCUCCAAACUCAGUUUGUCUACUGCCACAUUGUCCCAGCCCUUUUUGUGACUGCAGUGAACGGUACCAUGCAUUAACUCCACUCAAACAGGGAGUUGUUUAAGGCUGUUCUGUGCAUCAUUAUUAUGUACUAAGUUAUGUUCUGUGUUACAUUCUCUUUAUCUCAUCCCAUUUCAUAGCUCAAUGGAUGAGGUUUAAGGAUAGCUGAGGCUCCUCUAAUUAGUGGUUAUGCACUGUGAAAUCUACUGGAUCAGGUAAUGGAGCAUCCCAAGCCCAGUGUUUGUGCGUUGCUUGUAUGCAGGCAGCUUUAGCGAUGGCUGUGGGAGGCUCACUUAAAGAUGGAAUGGGGGUUACAAGGGGUUCACCUUGCUCCACAGGGUCCAUUCUCCCAGCCUGAUAAGCUACGUGGCUGGUGAUAGAGCAAGGUGCAUCGGCUGGGUCCUAAGCUGAAGCAAAUUCCCAGACCCCAGUAGCCAUUGGCUUCAUCCUUACUCAGCAUAAUACAGUCUCCACCACUCGAGCAUGCUGACCACAAGUGUUCUGCUCCUGUUUUGCCUGGCUCUCUCCCAUAUCUCCCUUAUAAACUAGUCAAUGGUAAUGGGUCCCAGGGUAUAGUCCUCAGAGCACCUUGUGGCUGAUCACCCCGGGGUCCUAUGGUUCUUUGCGUUUUAACAGCAGAUCUGGCUUCACUUUUACAGGAAAGAAAGGAUUGUUCUCUUCCCGACCACUGUAGUUGGGAUCACUCCAGGUGUCUCCAUCCCAGUUCUCAGGGGGUGCUAUUAGUUUCCUAAUCUGUAUGAUGCCUGAAACCCCAUCCUCUGACCCCCAUUAUGUAGCUAGCUCUGCAGCUGUGGGACCUGAUGGUGUGACAGAACGAGGUCCUCAGUCUGCUGAAUACUGGGACUGGCACAGAGGGGCUCUGUGACAGAUGUGGAUCAUCCUGACUGGAGUACUCGGUGAGUUUUCCAGUGCUGCUGAGCACGCAGACUUCCCUGCCUGCUCCAACCAUUCCCUGGUCACCAAACUCCUUUGCGUCAUCGUGUCUCACAGCCCCAGGCGUCUCUCUAUGGCACUGCUGGUGCCAGCGGAGAACUGCGGUGCCUGUAGGUGGUGCGCGAACUGCGCGGAGAGAUCUGUGGCUCUUCAUGAAGUCAGCUAGAAACAGAAAGCUGGAUUCCCUGGAAUGCCCUGGAACCUGACUUUGACUGGUAACUGGUUGCCCAUACAGGUAAGGGCAAUGUACACCUACCAGUGUUUACCCAUUAUAUAGUGUGGCUCAACGUAGUGCUCCCAGAGCUUGUUACUGCGCUUAAAGGUUCCCUACAGGCUGCUUGUCCUCUUCCUCCUGCCUUCUCCAUGCCUCUGGCCCAUCUAAUCCAGAGAAUGCACCCCCUCUAUAUUAGAGAUUUCACCAACUGUCUUUGAGGACAGCCUGGAAUCAAAAUGUGUGGGCUGUCAUAGCUCAUCCACUGAUAAACUCUCCCUUGCUGGACAGGCAGAUCCAGUUGCCUGCCAGGCAUUACUCUUGUCUUAUUUUUUUUUUUUGCUUCAUUUCUGUAUGGGAACUGUUAGGUCACAGCCUGAACUGGUGAGUGUGGGGUGAGCCCUUGUCCUUGGAAAGGGGUGAGUGAUUCCUUCUUUAUUUGAGGUCUGUGAUCUCCGCCUUUCUUUGGGGAUCCCAAACUGGGUUAAGGCAGCUGUAUCUGCUGUGUGUGUCCUUACAAUACCCUUCAGAUCUUUUGUAAGGGAGAUAAUGGGUUAUUUUCUGUUCUUUGAGUUGCUGUUGAAGGAGUUGAUGUGCACUCCUUUUAUUCUACCUCCUUGUUUCUAGACUGCUUCCUUCAGCUCUAAGAUAGUGUUUGUAGGCUGACCAUGUACUGAAGCUCUGGCAAUGCCUCAAGCUGAUGCCCUUUUCCAUAAUGGGGUUCUGAAUUGUCAAGAUCCCAUUUGGACAUAACUUUCUAAUUAAUUUUGGACUGUCUGUAGACUUGCUAUGGCCUGAAACUAUGCAUUUUAUUGCAUUAAAAAAGUCUAAUAGAAAAAUUAGAGAUGGAGAAAGGCAUUUGUAAAUACUGCUUUAAAAUAGGUCGAAGUCAGAGUCUGAGAAAACAUAAAUAUGGCUCUGUGCUUUCUGCUAAUAUGCUUUCAUUUCAUAAUUGUUAUGUUGGCUUGGUAGUUGGAUUUUAGUGUGUGAGUAUUUAAAAACAAUGUAACAGAUGCUGGCAAGAAAAAAUGUAUGACAUCAAUUGGAUUUUUUUUAACAGACAUUCAUAAGCUCUUAGCACAGGUUUUCUGGGUUUGGAGAAGUUUUCCUUCGUUUUCUUCGUCUUUUUUUUUUGUUGUUUUUCCCCUUCUUCUCUAACUUUGUGUUCUUCUGUCAUCAGAAGAAAGAGAAAACGGAACACCAGGACGGGGCUGGGGAGCCGCGCCGAUCCCAUCGGACGAGUUCUUACCGCGGUCUCAGCUGCCACCGCGUGGCCAAUCCGCGGAACUGCCGCUGCCUGCGCUUGGUGACCCAGGCAGUAUGGCGCAUGCGCGCCGAAAAGCGGAAGUGGCGUACAUACGUUCUGGCCACUCCGCGCAGCUAAUCCGCCAACUCUUAUUGUGAUUAGUCCGCCAGGCAGAAGGGCACAUGCGUCUGAAAGAGUACAACGAUCACCCGUCUCUGCGACCCAGUAAAGGGCGGGCGGGGAGUCAAUUGCUGGACCGUCGGCUCAGCGAUAUUCCUCCCUUCCAAUCCAGAAUGGC